UUGGAUUAGUUAUAACAUUAUAUGAAAAUAUAUAAUACAACAAAAAUAUAAUAGGACCAAAUAAAAUAGCAGGAAGAAGGGAGAACACAAACUAAUAGUAAAAAAGAAACAAAGGUGGGAAAGCAGAUCGAUCCAUCUUAUUUCUGGGUUGAUUACGAUAGAAUCUGAAUUAUUCGACCUAUUUAAUUAAAAAAAAUACAUAUUGAAGAUUAAAUAGAGAGAAAUUAUAAAUAAAGAAAUGCCUGGCUUUCCCAUGUACGCCGACGACUCAUGCAAACUUUUUAUUCUUCCGGCGAAACACCGAAGUAGCCUCUCUAUUGCAUCUCCUCGAAUUCAUUAACGGUAACGACGUAUGAAUAUAGUGGUUGCCGUGUGUGCGUACAUAGUAGUUCUCCUUUAUUUCUCUUCGUCUUCAUCAUCAUCAUCUUGGUAAUUUGUUUUAUGUUUCUUCUCUGAGAGAGAGAGAGAGACUCUUGUUGGAGUUUGUAUUAACUUGUAUAUAUGCACACGCAUGUCAUUAAAUAAAAUUAUGUGUAUUUUAUAUGUUUGGCAUGAUUAUUUAAUGUGAUACUAAUUUAAGUUGGCAUUUGACGG
Molecule: long non-coding RNA, 594 nt
Filed under: Brassica napus (rape)
Lineage: Eukaryota; Viridiplantae; Streptophyta; Magnoliopsida; Brassicales; Brassicaceae
Description: long non-coding RNA (BNAP_LNC007451)
Source: RNAcentral